GAUGAACGCUGGCGGCGUGCCUAAUACAUGCAAGUCGAGCGAACGGACGAGAAGCUUGCUUCUCUGAUGUUAGCGGCGGACGGGUGAGUAACACGUGGAUAACCUACCUAUAAGACUGGGAUAACUUCGGGAAACCGGAGCUAAUACCGGAUAAUAUUUUGAACCGCAUGGUUCAAAAGUGAAAGACGGUCUUGCUGUCACUUAUAGAUGGAUCCGCGCUGCAUUAGCUAGUUGGUAAGGUAACGGCUUACCAAGGCAACGUUGCAUAGCCGACCUGAGAGGGUGAUCGGCCACACUGGAACUGAGACACGGUCCAGACUCCUACGGGAGGCAGCAGUAGGGAAUCUUCCGCAAUGGGCGAAAGCCUGACGGAGCAACGCCGCGUGAGUGAUGAAGGUCUUCGGAUCGUAAAACUCUGUUAUUAGGGAAGAACAUAUGUGUAAGUAACUGUGCACAUCUUGACGGUACCUAAUCAGAAAGCCACGGCUAACUACGUG
RNAcentral lists this ribosomal RNA (497 nucleotides) under uncultured bacterium. Its description in RNAcentral is "partial 16S ribosomal RNA". It matches the Rfam family "Bacterial small subunit ribosomal RNA", at positions 28 to 507 of the family's 1533-position model. The record is from RNAcentral.